This 275-nucleotide ribosomal RNA is filed under the name uncultured bacterium. Its description in RNAcentral is "partial 16S ribosomal RNA". It matches the Rfam family "Bacterial small subunit ribosomal RNA", at positions 338 to 625 of the family's 1533-position model. The record is from RNAcentral.
CCUACGGGGGGCUGCAGUGGGGAAUAUUGCACAAUGGGCGAAAGCCUGAUGCAGCGACGCCGCGUGAGGGAGGAAGGCCUUCGGGUUGUAAACCUCUUUCAGCAGGGAAGAAGCGCAAGUGACGGUACCUGCAGAAGAAGCACCGGCUAACUACGUGCCAGCAGCCGCGGUAAUACGUAGGGUGCAAGCGUUGUCCGGAAUUAUUGGGCGUAAAGAGCUCGUAGGCGGUUUGUCGCGUCUGCUGUGAAAAUUCGGGGCUUAACCCCGGACUUGCA